Molecule: ribosomal RNA, 450 nt
Filed under: uncultured bacterium
Lineage: Bacteria
Description: bacterial SSU rRNA
Rfam family: Bacterial small subunit ribosomal RNA
Source: RNAcentral
UCGAGAAUUUUUCACAAUGGACGAAAGUCUGAUGGAGCGACGCCGCGUGGAGGAUGAAGGUUUUCGGAUUGUAAACUCCUGUCACUGCAGAACAAGGCGAUGUUAGUUAACAGCCAAUGUCGUUGAUGGUAUGCGGAGAGGAAGGGACGGCUAACUCUGUGCCAGCAGCCGCGGUAAGACAGAGGUCCCGAGCGUUGUUCGGAUUCAUUGGGCGUAAAGGGUGUGUAGGAGGCUAGGUAAGUCAGGUGUGAAAUCUCAGAGCUUAACUCUGAAACUGCGCUUGAUACUGCUUGGCUAGAGGAUCGGAGGGGGUAUCGGAAUUCAUGGUGUAGCAGUGAAAUGCGUAGAUAUCAUGAGGAACACCGGUGGCGAAGGCGGAUACCUGGAAGAUUCCUGACUCUGAAACACGAAAGCUAGGGGAGCAAACGGGAUUAGAUACCCCCGUAGUCC